UUGAUCUCAAAUCAGGUAGGACUACCCGCUGAACUUAAGCAUAUCAAUAAGCGGAGGAAAAGAAACUAACAAGGAUUCCCCUAGUAACUGCGAGUGAAGCGGGAAGAGCUCAAAUUUAAAAUCUGGCGUGCCUCUGGUCGUCCGAGUUGUAGUCUGGAGAAGUGUUUUCCGUGUUGGACCGUGUACAAGUCCCUUGGAACAGGGCGUCAUAGAGGGUGAGAAUCCCGUCUUUGACACGGACUACCAAUGCUUUGUGAUGCGCUCUCAAAGAGUCGAGUUGUUUGGGAAUGCAGCUCAAAAUGGGUGGUAAAUUCCAUCUAAAGCUAAAUAUAGGCGAGAGACCGAUAGCGAACAAGUACCGUGAGGGAAAGAUGAAAAGCACUUUGGAAAGAGAGUUAAACAGUACGUGAAAUUGCUGAAAGGGAAACGCUUGAAGUCAGUCAUGUCUGCCAGGACUCAGCCUUGCUUCUGCUUGGUGUACUUUCUGGUCUGACGGGCCAACAUCAAUUUUGACCGUUGGAGAAAGGCUUUGGGAACGUGGCACCUUCGGGUGUGUUAUAGCCCAUUGUUGUAUACAACGGUUGGGAUUGAGGACUGCAGCACGCCUUCAUGGCCGGGGUUCGCCCACGUACGUGCUUAGGAUGUUGGCAUAAUGGCUUUAAGCGACCCGUCUUG
Molecule: ribosomal RNA, 675 nt
Filed under: uncultured fungus
Lineage: Eukaryota; Fungi
Description: eukaryotic LSU rRNA
Rfam family: Eukaryotic large subunit ribosomal RNA
Source: RNAcentral